Molecule: long non-coding RNA, 714 nt
Organism: Psammomys obesus (fat sand rat)
Lineage: Eukaryota; Metazoa; Chordata; Mammalia; Rodentia; Muridae
Exons: 3
Source: RefSeq, a predicted model, not a curated record
UUUUCCAGUCCCCAGGUCACUCACCAUGUCUGGGAGCACUUGGGCCUCUCAAAGCAGAACUCGCCUAGUCUGUUUCCACCCAAGGCAGCCACAGCUUCACUUCCUGCUUACUCCAACUUUCUGCCCGCCUCCUGCCCAUCCCGCGACUCCAGCCGCCCCGGCUCCUGCCACACGUAACUGCAGGUUUCUCCAGGGCCAUCCUGGGUGAGAAGGAAGCACUAAAAUCCUCAGAAAAUGGGGCUGAAGAGAUGGGUCAGCAGGUGCUGAAGAUGACCUUAGGCCGUGGGGGAAGUGUAAACAACGGGGCAAGGCAUCUUAGCAGUGUCACAGGACAGAAGACAAUCGGGAAAUGGCUCAUUACCAGCCCCUCCUUUCCUUCUGGAGUUCAGCAGUCCUCCAUUUCCUUCCAAAGGUCACCUCAGGGCCUGGUGACCCCGAUCAGUUGUCCGAUGGACUAGGAGGGGGCCUGGGUAAAGGGUUUUUCCACCACAUGUGGCUGUCUGCCCGAGAAAACUGCUCUUCUCCGGAUGGAGUUUGUCAAGACAGAACAAUAACAGGGCACCAAGAGAGCAGACAUUCUUUCCACCCCAGAAGAAAGAACAGCGCCAAGGAGGAAGUCUUAGCUCCUCCAACAAAUAAGUCUUUUAUUAUUGUUAAAGGCUUUAAUAAACUAGAAUCCCGGAAUUAUUUUCAGAUAUUUGGGUUUUCCCUUUU